This 479-nucleotide ribosomal RNA is filed under the name uncultured bacterium. RNAcentral's name for it is "bacterial SSU rRNA". It matches the Rfam family "Bacterial small subunit ribosomal RNA", at positions 501 to 987 of the family's 1533-position model. The record is from RNAcentral.
CUACGUGCCAGCAGCCGCGGUAAUACGUAGGUGGCGAGCGUUAUCCGGAAUUAUUGGGCGUAAAGGGUGCGUAGGCGGCCUGUUAAGUAAGUGGUUAAAUUGUUGGGCUCAACCCAAUCCAGCCACUUAAACUGGCAGGCUAGAGUAUUGGAGAGGCAAGUGGAAUUCCAUGUGUAGCGGUAAAAUGCGUAGAUAUAUGGAGGAACACCAGUGGCGAAGGCGGCUUGCUAGCCAAAGACUGACGCUCAUGCACGAAAGCGUGGGGAGCAAAUAGGAUUAGAUACCCUAGUAGUCCACGCCGUAAACGAUGAAUACUAAGUAUUGGGGAAACUCAGUGCUGCAGCUAACGCAAUAAGUAUUCCGCCUGUGGAGUAUGCACGCAAGUGUGAAACAUAAAGGAAUUGACGGGGGCCCGCACAAGCGGUGGAGUAUGUGGUUUAAUUCGACGCAACGCGAAGAACCUUACCAGGUCUUGACAU